CAUGCAGUCGAACGAGAAACCACCCUUCGGGGUGGGAGUAAAGUGGCGCACGGGCGAGUAAUACGUUCCCAACGUGCCCCGAAGUCGGGGAUAACCAGGGGAAACCCCGGCUAAUACCCGAUGAUCUUCCGAGGCCGCAUGGCCGCGGAAGCAAAGCUCCGGCGCUUCGGGAUCGGGGAACGCCCUAUCAGGUUGUUGGUGUGGUAACGGCUCACCAAGCCGAAGACGGGUAGCGGGUGUGAGAGCAUGGCCCGCCGCAUCGGGACUGAGACACUGCCCGGACUCCUACGGGAGGCUGCAGCAAUGGAUCUUCCGCAAUGGGCGAAAGCCUGACGGAGCAAUGCCGCGUGGAGGAUGAAGCCCUUCGGGGUGUAAACUCCUGUCAGGGUCUGGAAAGCUCUGAUCGGACCCAGAGGAAGGGCCGGCUAACUUCGUGCCAGCAGCCGCGGUAAUACGAAGGGCCCUAGCGUUAAGCGGAAUCACUGGGCUUAAAGGGUGCGUAGGCGGACUUGAAAGUACCUUGUGAAAUCCCACGGCUCAACCGUGGAACUGCAUGGUAAACUUCAAGUCUUGAGCACGGCAGAGGCUGUCGGAACGCUGGGUGUAGCGGUGAAAUGCGUAGAUAUCCAGCGGAACGCCAAAAGCGAAAGCAGACAGCUGGGCCGUUGCUGACGCUGAGGCACGAAAGCGUGGGGAGCAAACGGGAUUAGAUACCCCGGUAGUCCACGCUGUAAACUUUGUGCACUAGCUCUGGGAGGUUCUGACACCAUCCGGGGCGUAGCGAAAGCGUUAAGUGCACCGCCUGGGGACUACGGUCGCAAGGCUAAAACUCAAAGGAAUUGACGGGGGCUCACACAAGCGGUGGAGCAUGUGGCUUAAUUCGAAGCAACGCGAAGAACCUUAUCCGGGGUUUGACAUGCACGGAUUAGCUUCCCGAAAGGGAGGUGACGCUCUUACGAGUGGAACGUGCACAGGUGUUGCAUGGCUGUCGUCAGCUCGUGCUGUGAAGUGUCGGGUUAAGUCCCUUAACGAGCGAAACCCCUGCCGCUAGUUGCCAGCGGGCCUUCGGGCGCCGGGGACUCUAGCGGGACUGCCGGCGUUAAGCCGGAGGAAGGUGGGGACGACGUCAAGUCAUCAUGACCCUUAUGCCCCGGGCUGCACACGUGCUACAAUGGCGGGGACAGAGCGAAGCAAUCCCGCAAGGGGGAGCAAAUCGCAAAAACCCCGCCCCAGUUCGGAUUGUGGUCUGCAACUCGACCGCAUGAAGCCGGAAUCGCUAGUAAUCGCGCAUCAGCAAUGGCGCGGUGAAUACGUUCCUGAGCCUUGUACACACCGCCCGUCAAGUCAUGGAAGCCGGGAGUACCCGAAGUGGCACCAUCUCAGGUGCCCCGACG
This 1394-nucleotide ribosomal RNA is filed under the name uncultured bacterium. RNAcentral's name for it is "bacterial SSU rRNA". It matches the Rfam family "Bacterial small subunit ribosomal RNA". The record is from RNAcentral.